AGAGUUUGAUCCUGGCUCAGGAUGAACGCCGGCGGUGUGCCUAAUACAUGCAAGUCGUACGCACUGGCCCAACUGAUUGAUGGUGCUUGCACCUGAUUGACGUUGGAUCACCAGUGAGUGGCGGACGGGUGAGUAACACGUAGGUAACCUGCCCCGGAGCGGGGGAUAACAUUUGGAAACAGAUGCUAAUACCGCAUAACAACAAAAGCCACAUGGCUUUUGUUUGAAAGAUGGCUUUAGCUAUCGCUCUGGGAUGGACCUGCGGUGCAUUAGCUAGUUGGUAAGGUAACGGCUUACCAAGGCGAUGAUGCAUAGCCGAGUUGAGAGACUGAUCGGCCACAAUGGAACUGAGACACGGUCCAUACUCCUACGGGAGGCAGCAGUAGGGAAUCUUCCACAAUGGGCGCAAGCCUGAUGGAGCAACACCGCGUGAGUGAAGAAGGGUUUCGGCUCGUAAAGCUCUGUUGUUGGAGAAGAACGUGCGUGAGAGUAACUGUUCGCGCAGUGACGGUAUCCAACCAGAAAGUCACGGCUAACUACGUGCCAGCAGCCGCGGUAAUACGUAGGUGGCAAGCGUUAUCCGGAUUUAUUGGGCGUAAAGCGAGCGCAGGCGGUUGCUUAGGUCUGAUGUGAAAGCCUUCGGCUUAACCGAAGAAGUGCAUCGGAAACCGGGCAACUUGAGUGCAGAAGAGGACAGUGGAACUCCAUGUGUAGCGGUGGAAUGCGUAGAUAUAUGGAAGAACACCAGUGGCGAAGGCGGCUGUCUGGUCUGCAACUGACGCUGAGGCUCGAAAGCAUGGGUAGCGAACAGGAUUAGAUACCCUGGUAGUCCAUGCCGUAAACGAUGAGUGCUAGGUGUUGGAGGGUUUCCGCCCUUCAGUGCCGGAGCUAACGCAUUAAGCACUCCGCCUGGGGAGUACGACCGCAAGGUUGAAACUCAAAGGAAUUGACGGGGGCCCGCACAAGCGGUGGAGCAUGUGGUUUAAUUCGAAGCUACGCGAAGAACCUUACCAGGUCUUGACAUCUUGCGCUAACCUUAGAGAUAAGGCGUUCCCUUCGGGGACGCAAUGACAGGUGGUGCAUGGUCGUCGUCAGCUCGUGUCGUGAGAUGUUGGGUUAAGUCCCGCAACGAGCGCAACCCUUGUUACUAGUUGCCAGCAUUAAGUUGGGCACUCUAGUGAGACUGCCGGUGACAAACCGGAGGAAGGUGGGGACGACGUCAGAUCAUCAUGCCCCUUAUGACCUGGGCUACACACGUGCUACAAUGGACGGUACAACGAGUCGCAAGCUCGCGAGAGUAAGCUAAUCUCUUAAAGCCGUUCUCAGUUCGGACUGUAGGCUGCAACUCGCCUACACGAAGUCGGAAUCGCUAGUAAUCGCGGAUCAGCAUGCCGCGGUGAAUACGUUCCCGGGCCUUGCACACACCGCCCGUCA
RNAcentral lists this ribosomal RNA (1434 nucleotides) under uncultured bacterium. RNAcentral describes it as "16S ribosomal RNA". It matches the Rfam family "Bacterial small subunit ribosomal RNA". The record is from RNAcentral.